GUUGGAAGGGACCUCUGGAGGUCAUGCAGUCCAACCACCCUGCUAAAGCAGGUUCUCGCCAGGAAAACACCCAGAGUAAUUUUGAAUAUCUUCAGAGAAGGACUCCACAACCACUCUGGGCAGUUUGUUCCGGUACUCUUUAACCAUCAAAGUGCUGAAAUGAUACUUUUGGGAUGUAUACUAAUCUCAGAGAGUCUCUCUGGACAAUUAACCUACUGUAAGACUUCUAAGGAAAAGUCCCUUCAGAUUGGAGAUUGAAAGAAGGAAAUCUACUGAAACCACAUGCAGAAGGAUCCUGUGUUCAACCACAGAGCAAAAACAGAAUAGAAAUCACUGAAUCAAUUCAAAUGAAUACUUGAAAGAAAUAU
This is a long non-coding RNA of Gallus gallus (chicken), 368 nucleotides long. The record is from Ensembl. Lineage: Eukaryota; Metazoa; Chordata; Aves; Galliformes; Phasianidae.